AAAAAGUCGAGCAAAGCGAGACCAGCUUGCUAGUAAAUAAAUACAAUUUAAAAAAUAGAGGCAGCUCACUGGUAAGUGCUGCUAUUUGAGCUAUUUUUAGAACAGGCCAGCGGGCGACUCAUCUGGUCCUUACGGGCACCGCGUUGGUGACCCCUGUGUAUGCUACUUAGAGUAGCAUACACACGCCACGUAAUCAUCAAAGGUUUAAAUAAACAUGUUUGCAGUUCUGCUUGGUUGUCACCUCCUUUCCUGUCUCUGUACAAAAAGCUGAUCAGUAACUCAUGACUAAAAACAUAUUGAUUGUACUUUGUUUGUACUCGUAAGCAGACCUCAAAGGUUGUCCCAGUCAUUCAUCUUGUUAUGUGAGCUAAUAAGUGCUCCAUCAUUUUGCUGUUUUGUAACCGGUAGAUCUAGCUCUGUGGCGGCCGGACCAGAUUUUGUGGCAAGAAGAUUCAGUUUCAACUUGUCUCAGCUCCGCAUGAUUGACUCUUUGAACACACUCACAUGCUGAACUCCAUCCAGAGCUCACCACCAAUAUUCCACCCAUGGCAGGUGCUUCGUCAUCAUUAGUCAGUUGUUGGUGUGUCACUCAGGAUGAGUGAGCUUUGCUGAACAACAACAAAAGAGAGACUAUGGAACAAAUAGAUGAAUGUGUCAACACAUGGUGAUCAAACCUGAGAUGACGGUCCUGACCACCUGCCACAGAAAAAACAAAAACAAAUUGAGUCCGCUUGCAAAGCUUCUGCCUAGACCUUGGCACAGCGCGGGGUGUUUUGUCAAAGUGGUCAGGCUGUCCUGUUCUUCAAGGAGACCUCUCCCGUUACAAACAAGAGAGCCUGAGAACUGGAUGUCACUGCCAGACACUGCUUGAAUGUCAGAGAGUCCAAAAGGUCCCUGGAAAACAUCCCGUUGCAGUUUUUAAAAAAACAUAAUGAUUUGAAAUCGUCCCCCUCCAAAAAAAAAAACUCCUUCUAUGUGGCAGAUUUCCUUGCUCACUCUUUAGUGCGUUGCUCAGGAGUUCCUUAAAAUGGAGCUGCACUUGCAAGUAGUCCUCUAAAGCAACUUCAAAACCCUCCAUCAAACAUUUUAUAUACA
Nerophis ophidion (straightnose pipefish) is the source of this 1095-nucleotide long non-coding RNA. RefSeq lists it as uncharacterized. The record is from RefSeq and is a predicted model, not a curated record. NCBI's taxonomy places the organism in Eukaryota, Metazoa, Chordata, Actinopteri, Syngnathiformes, Syngnathidae. The transcript is spliced from 3 exons.